Molecule: transfer RNA, 89 nt
Organism: Podospora anserina
Lineage: Eukaryota; Fungi; Ascomycota; Sordariomycetes; Sordariales; Podosporaceae
Rfam family: tRNA
About the family: Transfer RNA (tRNA) molecules are approximately 80 nucleotides in length. Their secondary structure includes four short double-helical elements and three loops (D, anti-codon, and T loops). Further hydrogen bonds mediate the characteristic L-shaped molecular structure. tRNAs have two regions of fundamental functional importance: the anti-codon, which is responsible for specific mRNA codon recognition, and the 3' end, to which the tRNAs corresponding amino acid is attached (by aminoacyl-tRNA synthetases). tRNAs cope with the degeneracy of the genetic code in two manners: having more than one tRNA (with a specific anti-codon) for a particular amino acid; and 'wobble' base-pairing, i.e. permitting non-standard base-pairing at the 3rd anti-codon position.
Source: Rfam
GCCCGUAUAGCUCAGUGGUAGAGCGCAUCACUCGUAAGACAUCUCGACUUGACAUGAUGAGGUCCGCGGUUCAAUCCCGCGUGGGGGCA